CGGAGGCCAGCCACGAUACCGACGUCGUCGUGACGCCCGCGCUUCACUCACCUCGCCUCAAACUCAACGGUCUUCGUUCCUAUCGGCCCCUACGGCACUCCUCCGCUUGAAACGGUCGCCGCCCACCCUACUUUGCUCUCCCCCCUUAGCUGUUCACUCCCUCCCCUUUUAUUUCAUGCUACGCGUUUCUCUGUCCCCCUUCCUCUCCCUUUUCCUCCCCUUAUUCCUCUCCUUUCGUCUUUCACAUCGUUACCCUUCUCACUCUACUCGUUUCGUCGAGGCUAGCUGUCUCUUUCCUCUUCGAGAUCUCCUUCGUAGGCAUCACUCUCUCCACUGUCACCCACGUUGCACGAUACGCUACAUAGUACACAUACGAUACACUCAUACGCGACUAACAUGCACAGUCAAUCGCUGUAAGCUCGUCGAUGACACGGAUAAUCGCGUAGGAAGACUCCCGACAAGGUUGAAAACCGUCAAGCAAGGACGUUGAUAGAUAUAUAUACAUAUGCAUAGGUUAUAGGUAUCUAUGUGUCUAUGCAUACUAUAACCUUAAAUCGUCUACUGCACGGUUCCCCUGAAAGCAGCCACAGAAAUUAACGCAACCGAAAUGAUUGACACAGCUGAGUCAGCGAUUCGUCACGACACUCAAACUAUCACGAUGGAAGAGGGAAGUAACGAAACACUUGUAUAAUAAUUCAUUGUAUCCAGUAGACAAGAUGGCAACGAAAAGUCGUUGCUGUUAUUAGAGAAGCAUAUACACGGUUCGUUAAAGCUGCACGAAAAUUUACUAUAAUUGCAAUCUAAGAAACGCCGAUUGUUAUGGCAUAAGUUAAUGGGCUACGAUGAUAAAUGACCGCGAAACUUAAAGUUAUAUUGCUAGGGCGACGGAGGAAGUUGAGAAGCUACCUGUUGAUUUGAAUUUGCUUCUUGAUAUUUAUGCAUUACAGGGAAAUAUUGCACGAGAAUGUCUGGUGAAGCGAUAACAUAACUCUGAACAUAUUAAUGCAAUUGCAUGCGUUUGAGAUAUAAGAAAGAUCAUGCAGAUAUGUAAUUAUAUGUAAUUAAACAAUAAACUGAUUAGACAAACCUA
Bombus terrestris (buff-tailed bumblebee) is the source of this 1090-nucleotide long non-coding RNA. RefSeq lists it as uncharacterized. The transcript is spliced from 2 exons. NCBI's taxonomy places the organism in Eukaryota, Metazoa, Arthropoda, Insecta, Hymenoptera, Apidae. The record is from RefSeq and is a predicted model, not a curated record.